Molecule: transfer RNA, 67 nt
Filed under: Aesalus sp. JL-2019
Lineage: Eukaryota; Metazoa; Arthropoda; Insecta; Coleoptera; Lucanidae
Description: tRNA-His
Source: RNAcentral
GUUUAAAUAGUUUAUAAUAAAAUAUUAGUUUGUGAGGCUUAAGAUGUAAAAUUUUUUACUUUAAACA